This 244-nucleotide long non-coding RNA is filed under the name Brassica napus (rape). RNAcentral's name for it is "long non-coding RNA (BNAP_LNC023762)". Lineage: Eukaryota; Viridiplantae; Streptophyta; Magnoliopsida; Brassicales; Brassicaceae. The record is from RNAcentral.
UGUGUUCUGUAAAGGUAGAUUUAUCUAAUUUUCACUCAUUUUUUCUGUUUUUAAGCCAUUUGAACGUUUUUGGAUAUGCAGGUUUUUCAGAUCUGGAUUUAAUAUGCAGGUUUUUCAGAUCUGGAAGAAUUCUGGGACGACUUAACUGUUAGUCGUCUAGAAGUCGUCUGGAAGUCAUCUGGACUUCUCGGAAGUCUUCUGACAAAGUCGUCUGGACUUCCUGUAAAGUCGUCUGAACUUCCUG